ACGAACGCUGGCGGCGUGCUUAACACAUGCAAGUCGAACGGAAAGGCCCUGCUUGCAGGGUACUCGAGUGGCGAACGGGUGAGUAACACGUGGGUGAUCUGCCCUGCACUUCGGGAUAAGCCUGGGAAACUGGGUCUAAUACCGGAUAGGAGCCAUUUUUAGUGUGAUGGUUGGAAAGUUUUUUCGGUGUAGGAUGAGCUCGCGGCCUAUCAGCUUGUUGGUGGGGUAAUGGCCUACCAAGGCGGCGACGGGUAGCCGGCCUGAGAGGGUGGACGGCCACAUUGGGACUGAGAUACGGCCCAGACUCCUACGGGAGGCAGCAGUGGGGAAUAUUGCACAAUGGGCGCAAGCCUGAUGCAGCGACGCCGCGUGGGGGAUGACGGCCUUCGGGUUGUAAACUCCUUUCGCUAGGGACGGAGCUUUUUGUGACGGUACCUAGAUAAGAAGCACCGGCUAACUACGUG
Molecule: ribosomal RNA, 464 nt
Filed under: uncultured bacterium
Lineage: Bacteria
Description: partial 16S ribosomal RNA
Rfam family: Bacterial small subunit ribosomal RNA
Source: RNAcentral